Molecule: transfer RNA, 75 nt
Organism: Lachnospiraceae bacterium 2_1_46FAA
Lineage: Bacteria; Bacillati; Bacillota; Clostridia; Lachnospirales; Lachnospiraceae
Rfam family: tRNA
About the family: Transfer RNA (tRNA) molecules are approximately 80 nucleotides in length. Their secondary structure includes four short double-helical elements and three loops (D, anti-codon, and T loops).
Source: Rfam
CGGGGUGUGGCUCAGCUUGGCUAGAGCGCCUGGUUUGGGACCAGGAGGUCGCAGGUUCGAAUCCUGUCACCCCGA